RNAcentral lists this long non-coding RNA (1144 nucleotides) under Canis lupus familiaris (dog). RNAcentral describes it as "lncRNA (ENSCAFG00845014872.1)". The record is from RNAcentral. Lineage: Eukaryota; Metazoa; Chordata; Mammalia; Carnivora; Canidae.
UUUUUUUUUUUUUUUACAAUUUAGUAAAAUGAAAUUUAUUUUAAAAAUGUUUUCAGGAAGCUGCAGAAUGGCUAGUGACUGUUUCUUGAUAAGCCUGUAGUGUUAAUUCUAUAUAUGCUCCUUUUUGUGCUUCUGUUUUUGCAAAGACCUUAAUUAAAUGUAAUCCCUCAGCAGCCUGCUCCUUGGCCUCCUGAGCAGACUGGCCAUCUGGAUGGAGGAUGUGAUAUAGCUGGACCAAGCUGGUGGCAUCAUCGACUAGAUCUCUCUGAAUCUGGUCAAUCAGUAAACCAUCAAUCUUUUUCUUAUUUACAAAAUACCAAGCCAUUCCACCAAAGUGUCUUGUUGAAUGUAAAAGGUCAUACUUCCCAUGUUUAUCUAUGUCUUCGUAGGUCUGAUGAUGGAUUUUGAUAUAUUCAGCAGAAUCUGGCUCAAACUGGGCAACACAGAGAUUGAGGACAUCAACAUGUCGGUCCUGGCUGUACACGUUCCUAAGAUUUUCUUCCUUGAAAAUUACUGGUGUUAAAACUCUACGGCCUUCUUUUGGAAAAUAAAUUUGUAUCAUCCUGUCCCGUUCUUCCCAAGAAGCUUUGCGUAGUGUGCCACUUGGUUCUCUGACAACAAUAAAACGCUCCCGGUGUGGUAUGCUAUAUGAUAUAUCAGUAAAUGCGUAUUUGGCUGUUUCUGCUCCUUCCAAUAUCUUAUCUUCAGCUAACACAUCAUUUAUUGGCACUGGUUCUUCCAGAACUGGUGGCAUUUUUAAUCGUACUUUAGCUGCCUCAAUUGCUUUUCUUGUAGCCUCCUCCAACUGUGCCUGGGUCAUUAGCUUAUAGGUUGGUGGCUUCAGUUCUUGUAUAGCUGGCUUAAAAACCUUCUGCAAAUUCAAGCCUGUCAUCUUGAUGAGUAGAUUUUGGACUUCCUCAUCCAUAAAUGUAGGUUUCUUGAUCUCUGGACUACCAGAUUCCGCCUCGGAAGCAAGCCAAUGGCAUGGCGGCCCCACCCCGCAGGGCCCGGCGGCGGCUGGAGCAGGGCACCGAGCUGGGGCCGAAUUCGGGCCGGAAACAGCCCCGCUCCGAGUUCCGAGAACCUGUCAGGAGGCUCCACAGCGCCACAGACGUUCUGAGGGCCGCCAUGACUAUCCGGAGGU